CUUGUUUGAAAGAAUGGUUGGACUGAUGAAGAAUUCGCUUUACAAAGUUGUUGGUUCAGCUAAACUCACUUACAAAGAGUUGCAAGAUGUAUUAUUGGACAUACAAAUAGUACUGAAUAACCGCCCUUUAACGUAUUGUGAAGAUGACGUGCAACUUCCGGUUCUCACACCAAACCUCCUGAUAUUGGGAAAAGCAAAUUAUCUAUUAGAGUUGCCUGUCGAAGAAAUUGAAGAAGACGAUCUACGAAGGAGAGCAAAACAUUUAAAGAAGUGUAAAGAUGCGUUAUGGCGUCGUUGGCGAAAUGAAUACAUGAGAGCACUUCGAGAGAGACACGAUUUACGACACCACGGGAAAAGCGCACGAUUGCAAGAAGGCGAUGUAGUUCUUAUCAAGGGCGAUGAAAAGAACCGAGGCAAGUGGAAGAUUGGAAUCGUGGACAAACUAAUACCUGGAAGAGAUGAAAUCGUGAGAGCGGUGAGACUGCGUGCAGGAAAGAGUUACCUCGAAAGACCUAUUCAGUUUCUAUAUCCAAU
Paramuricea clavata is the source of this 534-nucleotide non-coding RNA. The record is from the annotation of a GenBank genome assembly. Lineage: Eukaryota; Metazoa; Cnidaria; Anthozoa; Malacalcyonacea; Plexauridae.